RNAcentral lists this ribosomal RNA (378 nucleotides) under Streptomyces sp. ATCA06. RNAcentral's name for it is "bacterial SSU rRNA". It matches the Rfam family "Bacterial small subunit ribosomal RNA", at positions 989 to 1361 of the family's 1533-position model. Lineage: Bacteria; Bacillati; Actinomycetota; Actinomycetes; Kitasatosporales; Streptomycetaceae. The record is from RNAcentral.
ACCCGGAAACCCUGGAGACAGGGNUCCCCCUUGUGGUCGGUGUACAGGUGGUGCAUGGCUGUCGUCAGCUCGUGUCGUGAGAUGUUGGGUUAAGUCCCGCAACGAGCGCAACCCUUGUCCCGUGUUGCCAGCAGGCCCUUGUGGUGCUGGGGACUCACGGGAGACCGCCGGGGUCAACUCGGAGGAAGGUGGGGACGACGUCAAGUCAUCAUGCCCCUUAUGUCUUGGGCUGCACACGUGCUACAAUGGCCGGUACAAUGAGCUGCGAUACCGCGAGGUGGAGCGAAUCUCAAAAAGCCGGUCUCAGUUCGGAUUGGGGUCUGCAACUCGACCCCAUGAAGUCGGAGUCGCUAGUAAUCGCAGAUCAGCAUUGCUGCG